RNAcentral lists this ribosomal RNA (253 nucleotides) under bacterium. RNAcentral's name for it is "partial 16S ribosomal RNA". It matches the Rfam family "Bacterial small subunit ribosomal RNA", at positions 524 to 776 of the family's 1533-position model. The record is from RNAcentral. RNAcentral also lists the same sequence under 1 other name.
UACGGAGGGGGCUAGCGUUGUUCGGAAUUACUGGGCGUAAAGCGUACGUAGGCGGCUUUGUAAGUUAGAGGUGAAAGCCCGGGGCUCAACCCCGGAAUUGCCUUUAAGACUGCAUCGCUUGAAUCAUGGAGAGGUGAGUGGAAUUCCGAGUGUAGAGGUGAAAUUCGUAGAUAUUCGGAAGAACACCAGUGGCGAAGGCGACUCACUGGACAUGUAUUGACGCUGAGGUACGAAAGCGUGGGGAGCAAACAGG